Molecule: ribosomal RNA, 492 nt
Filed under: uncultured bacterium
Lineage: Bacteria
Description: partial 16S ribosomal RNA
Rfam family: Bacterial small subunit ribosomal RNA
Source: RNAcentral
AGUGAACGCUGGCGGUAGGCCUAACACAUGCAAGUCGAACGGCAGCACAGUAAGAUCUUGCUCUUACGGGUGGCGAGUGGCGGACGGGUGAGGCAUACAUCGGAAUCUACUUUUUCGUGGGGGAUAACGUAGGGAAACUUACGCUAAUACCGCAUACGACCUACGGGUGAAAGCAGGGGAUCUUCGGACCUUGCGCGAUUGAAUGAGCCGAUGUCGGAUUAGCUAGUUGGCGGGGUAAAGGCCCACCAAGGCGACGAUCCGUAGCUGGUCUGAGAGGAUGAUCAGCCACACUGGAACUGAGACACGGUCCAGACUCCUACGGGAGGCAGCAGUGGGGAAUAUUGGACAAUGGGCGCAAGCCUGAUCCAGCCAUACCGCGUGGGUGAAGAAGGCCUUCGGGUUGUAAAGCCCUUUUGUUGGGAAAGAAAAGCAGCAGGUUAAUACCCCGCUGUUCUGACGGUACCCAAAGAAUAAGCACCGGCUAACUUCGUG